RNAcentral lists this ribosomal RNA (334 nucleotides) under Amblyomma variegatum (tropical bont tick). RNAcentral describes it as "partial large subunit ribosomal RNA". Lineage: Eukaryota; Metazoa; Arthropoda; Arachnida; Ixodida; Ixodidae. The record is from RNAcentral.
AUUGAGUGCUAAGAGAAUGGAUUAACGGUAAAAUUCUUUUUUAAUUUCAAAAAUUGAAGUUAUUUUUGUUAGUGAAGAAACUACAAUAAAAAUUAAGGACAAGAAGACCCUAAGAAUUUUAAAUAAUUUAAAAAAAAAAUUUUUUUUAAAUUAUUUUAAUUGGGGCGAUUAAUAAAAAUAAGAAACUUUAUUUCUCCAAAAAAAUGAACCAUUAAUAAUGGCCAUAUGAAAAAAAUACUCUAGGGAUAACAGCGUAAUAAUUUUAGAUAGUUCUUAUAGACAAAAUAGUUUGCGACCUCGAUGUUGGAUUAGGAUUCUUAUUUAAUGAAGAAGU